AGCAAUAAUUUCCUUGUCACUUGAAUGUGACUUCCGAUUGUCAAAAUGACUCUGAGACAAUGGUUCGGUGCUGCCUGAUGGCACAAAGUAGAAUUGUGAAGCUGAUGCCAAAAGUAUGUCAACUUAAGUCAGGAGAAUGACAAAAGCUCCAAGGAAUCUCAAUCGUUGAGAAGGCAGGCCAGGCUACUAAACUGGCACACAGAGACCCAGCCAAGAACCUAGAAGGAUAGAAGAAUGCAAGCCCACCUGGGACUGGGAACUCUGAUGGUCUCCUUCAUCCUUGGUCUCCAGCAUGGAGAAAUUUCAGGUACCUGAUCAUUAUUUCUUGACAAGACCCAGUUGUACUUCCCUCUGUUGAGUUACCAGUGAUUUUUCCCUGGAAGCUUUUUAAUAAAAG
Molecule: long non-coding RNA, 397 nt
Filed under: Homo sapiens (human)
Lineage: Eukaryota; Metazoa; Chordata; Mammalia; Primates; Hominidae
Description: HSALNT0055969
Source: RNAcentral